GCGCUCCUGUCACGAUGUGGUGAGAUGCAAGGGAGGGGUAGGAUGCCGGUGACAGCAGAAGGAGCAGGCCGGUGUAGAGGGCAAGCAGCACAGGAAGGUAUGUAUUUCUUCACACUAUCUUCAUUAUUUUGCAACUUGUAUUCAUUUUCGCUGAUAAUCCUUUUGCACUUUUGUUUUAUCUAAUCCAUUGCAAGCUUAUAAAUGGUGAUGUUUGGUCUUCUACUAUUUUGGCUGGUGAUAGAUUAAGAAGGAUAUGACGCUUUGUAUAGUUUCAUGGAUGGGGUUUGGGUGUCCUGAUGAGAGCAGUUCAGUGGAUGCACCUCUGCAACCUCGCCAACAUGGACAAUCACUGGUAACAUCUUUUACCCUAUCCAGUUAUUACCUCCAUUUUAUGCAGUUUCUUUCAAACUGAAUGAAGUCUCGAGGUGGACGCGCGAGCUCUUAUUUUGUUGUUCUUGCUGUUGUGUAUAUGUCUUCAUGCAUCUAAGCCAUUAAAAAUUGCAAAUCUAAAUGGGUUGGGGAGAUAUGGCUAUGGUGUUUAUUCCUUCACAUUGGUUUAGGUAUUUCUGAAUUGGUUCACUCUGAAAAAAGGUCUGUCACGGUUUGAUUUUUGCAUCUGCAGAAAGUGCGGUCUUUUUCUAGCGUGGAGCAUCCACACCUUCUUCUCCCCAGUGCUCACUACUUUGUUGGCACAUGUUUCGUAGAAUAGAACACCUUUUUAAUGUCGUAUUUCAUGCUAUACAGUGUGAUGGAUCAUUAGAUGGCUAGCCUUUCGCGGCACUCAUUGACGAAUUUUCACUUUAGGUGUUCUUGUGGCCCCUAGGUUUUUGAGUAUGUUCAUGUUGAGAAAUUAUAGUAAUAAGGAGGGACACAAUAAAUAUUUGUAAGCUAGGUUGCUUGCCUAAUCAAGCUCACAUGUGGAUCAUUUACUGUUCUGCGUUAUUGGAGUUUUGCUACAGUAUUCAUUCAGAAAAAUAUGAGUGGCAUGUUGCAAUAUGAUGCUCAGGACGAAACUGAUAUUUGAAAUUACAUGUUCUAUGACAAUGGUGUAAUACCAUAAUAUUUACAAAUUAUAAUUUGUUUUUAACUUUGCAACCGGAAUGUGUUGCCUUUAGUAAUAUGUACGUCCACUGUUUAUUUCCAGCAAGACAUGAUAAAUAUUGUUCUUUAGAUUACUUCAAUGAACUGAUAAAUAGCGGACCAGGCUAAGUUCAAGACCUUGAUUUAGAAGUAGAGUUUUUCAAUCAUAGACAUGUUUCUUCCUAAAAAGGAAUUCAAGCGCAGCUACUGUUGACUCUAAAAAGGGAUUUAAAAUGUUUUCAUUUCUGGAAAAUGUUUUCAUUUAUGAAUUUUGAUCUCAAGUUAUCAACCUUAAUCGAAUUCUUUGAAUUUAGGCUAAACUUAAGCAUGAAUUGUAGGUCAUGAGUACAGGAUCAAGCCG
This 1441-nucleotide long non-coding RNA is filed under the name Triticum aestivum (bread wheat). RNAcentral describes it as "long non-coding RNA (TAES_LNC013656)". The record is from RNAcentral. Lineage: Eukaryota; Viridiplantae; Streptophyta; Magnoliopsida; Poales; Poaceae.